Molecule: ribosomal RNA, 437 nt
Rfam family: Bacterial small subunit ribosomal RNA
ACGGGAGGCAGCAGUGGGGAAUAUUGGGCAAUGGGCGAAGGCCUGACCCAGCAACGCCGCGUGAAGGAAGAAGGUCUUCGGAUUGUAAACUUCUUUUAUGAGGGACGAAGGACGUGACGGUACCUCAUGAAUAAGCCACGGCUAACUACGUGCCAGCAGCCGCGGUAAUACGUAGGUGGCAAGCGUUAUCCGGAUUUACUGGGUGUAAAGGGCGCGUAGGCGGGGAUGCAAGUCAGAUGUGAAAUCUAUGGGCUUAACUCAUAAACUGCAUUUGAAACUGUAUCUCUUGAGUGCUGGAGAGGUAGAUGGAAUUCCUUGUGUAGCGGUGAAAUGCAUAGAUAUAAGGAAGAACACCAGUGGCGAAGGCGAUCUACUGGACAGUAACUGACGCUGAGGCGCGAGAGCGUGGGGAGCAAACAGGAUUAGAUACCCUGGUA